UACGUAGGGUGCAAGCGUUGUCCGGAAUUAUUGGGCGUAAAGAGCUCGUAGGCGGUUUGUCGCGUCGGCUGUGAAAACCCGAGGCUCAACCUCGGGCCUGCAGUCGAUACGGGCAAACUAGAGUGUGGUAGGGGAGACUGGAAUUCCUGGUGUAGCGGUGAAAUGCGCAGAUAUCAGGAGGAACACCGGCGGCGAAGGCGGGUCUCUGGGCCAUAACUGACGCUGAGGAGCGAAAGCGUGGGGAGCGAACAGG
Molecule: ribosomal RNA, 253 nt
Filed under: uncultured bacterium
Lineage: Bacteria
Description: partial 16S ribosomal RNA
Rfam family: Bacterial small subunit ribosomal RNA
Source: RNAcentral